This 467-nucleotide ribosomal RNA is filed under the name uncultured bacterium. RNAcentral's name for it is "partial 16S ribosomal RNA". It matches the Rfam family "Bacterial small subunit ribosomal RNA", at positions 28 to 507 of the family's 1533-position model. The record is from RNAcentral.
GACGAACGCUGGCGGCGUGCUUAACACAUGCAAGUCGAACGGAAAGGCCUCUUUCGGGGGGUACUCGAGUGGCGAACGGGUGAGUAACACGUGAGUAACCUGCCCUUGACUUUGGGAUAACUUCAGGAAACUGGGGCUAAUACCGGAUAGGAGCUCCUGCUGCAUGGUGGGGGUUGGAAAGUUUCGGCGGUUGGGGAUGGACUCGCGGCUUAUCAGCUUGUUGGUGGGGUAGUGGCUUACCAAGGCUUUGACGGGUAGCCGGCCUGAGAGGGUGACCGGCCACAGUGGGACUGAGAUACGGCCCAGACUCCUACGGGAGGCAGCAGGGGGGAAUAUUGCACAAUGGGUGGAAGCCGGAUGCAGCAACGCCGUGUGCGGGAGGACGGCCUUCGGGUUGGAAACCGCUUUCGCUCAUGACGAAGCUUUGUGUGACGGUAGUGGGUAAAGAAGCACCGGCUAACUACGUG